GAGUUUGAUCCUGGCUCAGGAUGAACGCUGGCGGCGUGCUUAACACAUGCAAGUCGAGCGAAGCAUAAAAACAGAUUUCUUCGGAAUGAAAUUUUUAUGACUGAGCGGCGGACGGGUGAGUAACGCGUGGGUGACCUGCCUCAUACAGGGGGAUAACAGACAGAAAUGUCUGCUAAUACCGCAUAAGCGCACAGUGCUGCAUGGCACAGUGUGAAAAACUCCGGUGGUAUGAGAUGGACCCGCGUCUGAUUAGCUAGUUGGUAAGGUAACGGCUUACCAAGGCGACGAUCAGUAGCCGGCCUGAGAGGGUGAACGGCCACAUUGGGACUGAGACACGGCCCAAACUCCUACGGGAGGCAGCAGUGGGGAAUAUUGCACAAUGGGGGAAACCCUGAUGCAGCGACGCCGCGUGAAGGAAGAAGUAUUUCGGUAUGUAAACUUCUAUCAGCAGGGAAGAAAAUGACGGUACCUGACUAAGAAGCCCCGGCU
This 489-nucleotide ribosomal RNA is filed under the name uncultured bacterium. Its description in RNAcentral is "bacterial SSU rRNA". It matches the Rfam family "Bacterial small subunit ribosomal RNA", at positions 9 to 498 of the family's 1533-position model. The record is from RNAcentral.